GCCGGGAUAGCUCAGUUGGUAGAGCAGAGGACUGAAAAUCCUCGGGUCACCAGUUCAAAUA
This 61-nucleotide transfer RNA is filed under the name Flexitrichum flexicaule. Its description in RNAcentral is "partial transfer RNA-Phe". It matches the Rfam family "tRNA", at positions 1 to 59 of the family's 71-position model. From Rfam's summary of the family: Transfer RNA (tRNA) molecules are approximately 80 nucleotides in length. Their secondary structure includes four short double-helical elements and three loops (D, anti-codon, and T loops). Lineage: Eukaryota; Viridiplantae; Streptophyta; Bryopsida; Pseudoditrichales; Flexitrichaceae. The record is from RNAcentral.